RNAcentral lists this long non-coding RNA (1284 nucleotides) under Phasianus colchicus (ring-necked pheasant). RNAcentral describes it as "lncRNA (ENSPCLG00000017659.1)". The record is from RNAcentral. Lineage: Eukaryota; Metazoa; Chordata; Aves; Galliformes; Phasianidae.
CCCCAUAGAUUUUGGCUCCAUCGAGACCUCCUGCCCCAUAGAUUUUGGCCCCAUAGAGACCUUCUGACUCAUAGAUUUCCCUCUCCUGCCCCAUAGAUUUCAGUCUCCUGCCCCAUAGAGGCCUCCUGCCCCAUAGAUUUUGGCCCCAUAGGGACCUUCGGACCCAUAGAUUUCUCUCUCCUGCCCCAUAGAUUUCAGUCUCCUGCCCCAUAGAGGCCUCCUGCCCCAUAGAUUUUGACCCCAUAGAGACCUUCAGACCCAUAGAGACCUUCAGACCCAUAGAUUUUGGUCUCUUGCCCCAUAGAUUUUGGCCCCAUAGAUUUUGCUCUCCUGCCCCAUAGAUUUCAGCCUCCAGCCCCAUAGAUGUAAUCGACCCCAUAGAUUUCGGUCUCCUGCCCCAUAGAUUUCGGUCUCCUGCCCCAUAGAUCCGUGCCCCAUAGCUCUCCCUCCCCUAUAGCUACAGCUGGACCCACAACCCUGCUCCAUAGCUCCGUGCUGCCCCAUAGAUUUCUGCCCCAUAGCUCUGAGCUGCCCCAUAGCUGUUUCUGCCCCAUAGAUCCGUGCAGCCCCAUAGAUUCUGCCCCAUAGAUCCGUGCCCCAUAGCUCUCCCUGCCCCAUAGAUGCUGCCCCAUAGAUUCACCCCAUGGCUGCCCCAUAGAUUUCUGCCCCAUAGAUCCGUGCCCCAUAGAUCCGUGCCCCAUAGAUCUGUGCUGCCCCAUAGAUCUGCCCCCAUAGAUUUCUGCCCCACAGCUCUCCCUGCCCCACAGCUCUGCCCCAUAGAUCCGUGCCCCAUAGCUCUCCCUACCCUAAAGCUACAGCUGGACCCCACAGCUCUGCCCCAUAGAUUCUGCCCCAUAGAUCCGUGCUGCCCCAUAGAUCCGUGCCCCAUAGAUUUCUGCCCCAUAGCUCUACUAGCCCUAUAGCUACAGCCGGACCCACAGCUCUGCCCCAUAGAUUCUGCCCCAUAGAUCCUGCUGCCCCAUAGAUCCAUGCUGCCCCAUAGCUCUACCAGCCCCAUAGCUACGGCUGGACCCACAGCUCUGCCCCACAGAUUCUGCCCCAUAGAUCCGUGCCCCAUAGCUCUACUAGCCCUAUAGCUACAGCUGGACCCCCAGCUCUGCCCCACAGCUUUCCCUGCCCCAUAGAUCCGUGCUGCCCCAUAGAUCCGUGCUGCCCCAUAGAUGCUGCCCCAUAGCUCUCCCUGCCCCAUAGAUGCUGCCCCAUAGAUUCACCCCAUGGAUACCCCAUUGAUUUCUGCCCCAUAGAUCCGUGCCCCAUAGCUCU